This is a long non-coding RNA of Ostrea edulis (European flat oyster), 583 nucleotides long. RefSeq lists it as uncharacterized. The record is from RefSeq and is a predicted model, not a curated record. NCBI's taxonomy places the organism in Eukaryota, Metazoa, Mollusca, Bivalvia, Ostreida, Ostreidae. The transcript is spliced from 2 exons.
ACACACAAAAUAACUCUCAGUAUCACAGCAUUACCUUGAGAUGUAGAAUACAUAACGAGGAAAUCAUUGUGACAUGGUGUCAUCACAGUUGUCAUGGUAUCUUCGUCAUGUACAUCAUUUCUUGCAAUCCUGUCCACCUUUCUGAACACAAGCUUCUUGAUCCAUUUUAUGCCUCUUUGAGCGAUGCUUGGAUCCUCAGAAACGUCAUGCGUUACCUCGUGUAAAACUUCCAAACAGGGAAUUACUUCGAUGGAUGACUCGGAACCAUCAGAUUUACGACCACCAUCUUUUAUUUUGUCUCCGCACAAACCAUCACUAAUCGGGGAUUUCGUAUCAGCAAAGGAAGUGGUGGAAUUUAUUGAAAUGCUUUCUUUUUUGUCAUGCCCUACUUCUGGAAUCCUACGCUUAUUGGACGCACACAUAUAGGGAAAGCUCUUGACAGAUUAUCAGAGGAAGAAAAAAAGAAAAUGACUGUUCUUUUCAAUACUGCUUAUGCAGUUGCACGUAAUGAAAAUUCAUUCUCGGAUUACUUGUAUAUUUAUGAACUGAAUAAAUUGAGAUCAGGGUUGACCAUGACAGGAAA